This is a long non-coding RNA of Columba livia (rock pigeon), 13881 nucleotides long. RefSeq lists it as uncharacterized. The transcript has 2 exons. The record is from RefSeq and is a predicted model, not a curated record. Lineage: Eukaryota; Metazoa; Chordata; Aves; Columbiformes; Columbidae.
UCUGGAGACGGGCCGGGCACGGGAGGCCCGGCAGCGCCUGGCACGGGUCUCGGCGGGGGAGGUGCCCUGGGGGUGCGCCUGCCCCGCGACCUGGGGGACUUCGGAGCGGAGGCGCUGUGCUGCCCUCACGCCGGUUCCGUGCAACCCCUACUCUGAAUAUUAUUUUUUUCUUACGUGAUAGUAGGGUGAUAGAAUUAGAUUAAAACCAUGGGAUCGAAUAAACAAGAGCCAGGUGGGGUUUUUUGUGUUUUGUUUUUGUUUUUUUAAGUUUACUAAUUACUAAGUGUGUACGGAAAAUUCUCUGCACUAGAGGUUAGUGUCCACAAAGGAGUUAGAGGAGUAAAAGACAUCACUUCAUUCGAAUAAAGGGAGAGUCCGCCUGGAGAUGCCGGUGACUUCACAAGACGGGUCCCCCCGGGGUCUCUCGGCACAUCAGAAUGAAGAUAUUUGAAUUUAAUACAUUGUUACCAGAAUGAGACAACCCCAAACACUGAAAAGAAGCUGAUUGUACUGGUAUUUGUCCACCUCAGUUCAUGAAGACUCAAGAAAAAAUUCACUAUAAAGUUUUCUCUAAACAGUAGAGAGUUACAAAAAUUUAAAGGUAUCCUUAUUGUUUUGUACACAGGUCUUACAAGUUUAAAAUUUUAAAGCUAUUGCUGAAUGUAGAUGUUCCAAGUGUUUUUUUUAAUUAAUUUUCACAAAAACACAUUUUGGCACCAGCAAGUGGUAAAACGAGAUGUUGGUGAAGGCAACAUUUAGAAUGAAGCAGAUGAGUGGCAGAUGUGUCCUUGUUAAAAAAUUAAACUAGUUUUGUGUCCUCUCCUCAUCACAUAUGCACCUAACAAGCAGAAUGGCUACACAAACAUGCUUUCAGUGGUCAUCAGACACAACAAUCAAGCUAGGCCAAAUGAAAAACACCCAGUUUCAAGAAAGAAUUCUACUGAAUCAAGUUAGUAAUCCAAGUUUCUUAAUGCAGUAAGAAUAAGUGAAUUAGGAACUCUAACACUCAGGCAGAAUGCUGAGAAGAACAGCAGACUGGAAACAGUCAGUACACAUCAGGUUUUUAAUACAGUGACUAAUGCAAAUCACAUAAACUCUCCUGGAAGCUGGUUCCAGAGCCUAGCUAUUCUCUCCUAGGAGAUGCCUUUACCCAAGAUGCAGAAUUAGUCUCUCCAUUGCCCCCUCCAUUUAGUUUCACUAAUUCUUGUUUCUCUGCCUGCACUUAGUGACAAGGAUGCUUUAGAGCAGUAGCUAGUAUCCCUUGGAGAGGAAAGAUCAAGUUUGAUUCCUUCAAGCUUUCCAGAGUCUGAAAAGCUAGGUCACUGAGUACCAGAGUGAGUUGUUAAAUGAUCAAAGAUUCUAUCGUUCAGCCAUAUGUGUAAACAGAUUGCCUGUGCUUUGUACUAUUAGUGUAACUCAAUGCUAUCAGAAUCCAUUGGAUGGGACCAUAUGCCACUUUUAUAUCUGGUCCUCUGACUUGUGAACUUCAGACUGAUUUAGAUACAAACAUGCACCACAAUGAUGGAAAGACAGGAGUUACUCCAAGCAUGUUUAGUAACUUAAAGCUCUGGUGCUUCCUAAGUGUACUAAGAAAAGUAGAGAUAAACAGACAUGCUCAACAACAUGCCCGGACUUUCUGUAUGAAGAUUUUAAUUUAUAAUUUGAUAUAUAGAUGCCUACACCUUUUAAGACCUGGUAUUUUGCACAGAAUUUUUUAAUCAACACAAAACACAAAGGCUGCAUACACACUACUACUACAGAAAAAAAACCAACAACCAACAAACAACAAAAACAAACUCCACAAAAACAACGUACCCUCCACAAAAACCCUCCCAAACUCACUUCCAAUAUAAUGAAAGUGCCAAAGCAGAGGAGAUAAAAGUAUAAUCUCAAUGGUGGCCAAAGUGAAUGUCAGUAUAAUUUUAUAACUAUCAAUCUUUUAUGGCCAGCAUUAAAAAACAUCUUAGCAAAGGUACUGUAAGCCUACUCAUAGAAAGAACUUACUGAAUGUAGUUCUGGAAAAAUCUCCUCCAUGGCAAAGUACUCAAUGAAAGUGGCAAAUCCUUCGUUCAGCCAAAGAUCGUUCCACCAUUCCAUAGUCACUAGGUUACCAAACCACUAUGAAAGAAAAAAUAUGUAAUUCUUUUUCAGACAUAAAAUCAAGCAAAUACAGUAACACUCCAUCCAUCCUCAGCUUUAUCUUGUGGCAAAGUCAAGUUCAGUCAAAGCCACAGUAAUGUACUUGCAGUAACAACUCCCUAAGAGUUUGUGUUUUGUGCUGAAGAAAAUAUACCUGAAGGUAUGCUGAAGAGAUAAAAUGCACAUCCCAGUCACAAUGAGAGCAGGAGUGAAUUUAAGGACAGAAUUUCAUUUAAAAAGAAAAAAAAUAACCCGUCACAUUCAAAGAAUGACCUCCACAAUCUAGUACCUGAUGCGCAAGCUCAUGUGCUAUCACUGCAGUUAUUAACUUCUUAUCCCUUGCUGAAGAAGUAUUACUGUCAAACAAGAGUGCUGUUUCUCGGAAGGUGAUCAAGCCCCAGUUUUCCAUUGCACCAGACUGAAAAUCAGGAAUUGCUACCAGAUCUGGAAAAGAUUUGGAAGAAGCUUUGAAAACUGCUAGUUAAAGCAAUUCUGUAUUUCAAGGCUAUCUAUUCUAUUACAUAAUCACUAAAAAACCUCAUUAUUUAAAUCAUGUUGUGUUGGCAUCUGCUCACAUCUCAAGCACAGAAGACCCAUAGAUUUAAAGCCAUGUUUCUCUAGCAGUACUCUUACAGAAACAACUUAAAGCACUAGAGACACUGCAUAUAGAUCUUGCAUGCACACAAGUAAUGAGGAAAUCGGGCUUCCCCUCUUGAAAGCAAUGUCUUAAAAGACUUCAUUUCAGUAUCUUUCCAGUCAACUAACACAUCCUCAGAAGUCAGGCUGCAGAUUUUGCACCCAUGAAUAUGGUUUUACAGACUGAGAAUUCUGUAUCUCCCUACUCAAGGCACAUCAUGUCAAAUUUAGACUGAAUUAUUUCUUUCAUGUUAUAUACAAGUAUAAGCAAUCUGAUGUCAAAUGCUCACAAAAGUUUUCUAGCUUGGGAAUCACUUAAUACUCAAACAUUUUAUGAAUUUUUAAAAUAAUUUGGAGGGAACCUUUUUUCCCAGAUGUUUUAUGUUAUUGUUUAUUUUAAGCACACCUUUUCAGAACAAAAGUUCCCCUGCAUUUCUCAGAAUUGAUCAGGGCUUCUUCUUCUUCUGUUUAAAAAAAGUUCAAAAGAACUUACCUAGUUUUUCAAGAGGGUAGUUUAUUAAAAAGUACUUUUCAUAAAAUUCCAGAAGUUUCACUGCUGUGUUUAAGGCAUACCCAACUUGGUUUAGAUGCUGUGGUAUGGCACAGACAGAUACCUAGUCCAAACAGAGAAGAAAAGAGAAAAAAUUUUGAAACACACAAAAGCUUUAGAAGUAAAAGAGGACCUGGCAGUAUUUCCUGAAACAGGUAGGACACAGUUUGGGGAGUAUGCACAUACAUUACAAACACUAGUUAUGAAGCUGUCAAUGAAGAGUUAAUUUUUUUGCUAGACCUUAUUGACUAGUCAAAAUACAGACAAAGUAUCCAAUUGACCAAUGUGUAUGCAAGAACAAUUAAAGGCUGACAGCUUUAAGGAAGGUGUUCAAGAAGGGUCCAUAUGAACAGAAGUUGAUCCAUUUCCUUUUUUACUCAUGAGUUAUUAAGUGACUCUCCCUUUAUACCUCAAAUAAUCUGCAAGUAUAGGCUAUCAGUAUGACAUCAUCUGCAAGAAAUACUAAUUGUCACAAAGUUCACCCUUUCCUCUGUGUAAGGUAGGGUCACAUUGGACACGAUAUAAGAAGCAUUUAUAAAAAUUGAGAGGUUACAGUCUCCCUCUAUUCAUGUUAAAGUUGCUAUAUCAACAAAAUAACUUUGAUUAGGUUAAAGGUUGAUCCAGGUUUAGGAUGCCCUUUCACACACAAACACAAAAUAGGUUGAGACUAAUUUUCCUCUUCUAUUAAAAAGAAAGUAGUCUCUCUCACUAUGCUACAAAUCUGUAAACAAAUGACAUUGCCAAUAGAUGGAUGGGUGACCUUUUAAUUUUUUGAGUUUGAACCAACCACAUACGGGUAAGGAUCUAAUGUAGUGCUCCUGGAAGUACAAAAUUAUUACUAGCUGCAAAUUUUAAGUUCAAAAACAAGACAUAAAACCCCCCCAGGAUCUUCUGGAGUUGGGAAAAAUCUCAAUUGCAUUAUGAACACAUAACAACUUUCCUUCAACUCUAAGCGAUCUUAUAAGAUUCAGGACAAUAAACUUAUUUUGCGUGAACUGGUUAGGUCAAAUUCUUUGAGUCUCCCAGUGAAAAAUUACUGGAAGCACUUUGAGAAUGUAUUUUGUGGAAAAUGUCACUGUAUACUUCCUUCUUACAGUCUCCCUUGGCCUACUUGACACUGUUAGCAACAGCACAACCCACUAGCCAGACUCCAGACUUUCUUGGUAUGAUCAUUCUUGUGCUUUCUCCCUUCAAGCUGGCAAAUACUUGUAUACAUUACUAGAUCCUUCAUGUUUGGUGCCUUGGAACAGGCUGCCCAGGGAAGCGACUAAAGUAGUUGAAGAACAUCCAUGGACACGUUCAAAAGAUGCGUAGAUAAGGUUUUUAGGGACAAAGUUUAGUGACAGUUAGCCUGUUUCCAGAAAAUAAGACAGGGCUUAUUUUUGGAGUAGGAUUUAUAUUUCAAGCAUCUUCAAAAAUCCUGAAAAAUCAAGCUAGGGCUUAUUUUCAGGGUAGGUCUUCUUUUGGGGAAACAGGAACGGUUGGACUCUAUGAUCUUGAGGGUCUUUCCAACCAAAAUGAUUCUACGAUUCUAAAAGCCUACUGGACUUUCCUUCUACCCAAGUCAGAAUCAAAGCCUAUUCACCAGUAUCUUUAGUUGUGUAUACUGGAUUAAAGAGAGAACUUCUCCUUCUACAAUGCUACUAGCACUAUUCCUUCUGGCUGUUUCUAGGUAGAUACUGGCACUUCUGACAUUUCACCACAAAGGGGCAGUUCCUGCUAGAGAGUCAUGAAAAUCAUUGCUCACUGAAAAACUCCUGCACCUCCUAAAAUAAGAUUAAGAAGCAUCUCCUAAUAUUACCAUAUUUUUGUUUAGUUACUUUAAUUGCACACAUUGUAGUAACUGCUCACUGACCCUGCAGGCCACAUCCCCAUGAAGAGCAAAGAUCAAAGAGGACCAACUGUUUGAUUUUUGGAACCUUUAGAAAAACAAAAACCUCACAAAGAAAUCUUUGUGUUCACAUGACUAAAUGCAGACUUAAAGGUAGUCUAGAUUUGCUUUAUUGGAGGGCUUGGGUUUUUUAGGUAGCUUAUUUAUUUUUGCAGGUAUAGAACAUAUUUGCAGCACUGCUCGAAAUCGUAUGUAGGCUUCCCUGGUCUACAUGACACUACUCCCUCACAGAUGAAGCAUUAAAACCAAAAGUUUAAAGCUUCCAGCUCUGAAAGCUCUUAUGAAUUUUAGAUUUUGUAAAUUUCCACUGUAUAACAAGACCUGAUGCUGAGUCCCUUGCUGUAAAAGUCUUCUCAAUCUGGUAUAAGAUGUCAAGUCAGUCCAACCUAUAGCAUAUGGCUUUUGUCCCCUACCUAUGAUGAGUAUAGUAAAACCAAGAAAAAAAAAAUUAAAAGAUGGGGUUUACUUGUUGGUUUUGGGAUUUUCUUCUUUUGUUUUGGCUGGCUGGUUGGCUUAGGAGGGGUGAGGAAGAAAUUGAAGUGAAACAAACAUACCAGACUCCCAUUAGUUUUCAUACUGAUGUUUUUCAAGUCUGCAACAACAAAGGCUACUAGGUAAGUGCUCAUCUUCAAACUCACAAAAAACUCGUCUUGAACAAUUCCAUUUGUCACAGGAGUGGUGGCCUUCUGCAGGUGAAAGGAAAACAUGGUUAUUAAUGCAGACAAAAGAACACUAAGACAUGCAAGGAAUCAAUAUUAAAUCAAAGAACUACCUCAUGCCAGAACAGUUUAUAAGUAAACUUGCAGAACAUCUUUGUAUUUUAGUUACAUUUCACUGGGAAACAUGAUACUCCAACCUGUUCAUGGUGUAACAAAACUUAACAAGACAUCGCACAUUUAAGCCUAUAUACCCAAAAAUUAUUUCUCAAGCAUUGUUACCACACAAAUGCAUUGUUGGGGAAACCAUCAAUCUAACUUACUUCACACUUAAACCCCCAGUAUAAUCCAACAUCAACAUAAAGAUUAGCAGUAACUCAAGAGAACUUUAGGCUAAAUCGGAGACACAGUUCAGCACAGCCUACUAAAAAUAUUGGUAUUACAUGAGUUAAACAUUUGUCUCUUGCCAGAAGCCUCUUCAAAACAAGGUAACCAGACACAGUCACUAUUUAAAAAAAAAAAAAAAAACAGAACAAAAAACCCCUCACACACACCCUUACAAAUCAAAAGAGAUCACGUUUUAAAAAGUGAAGAAAACCUAAGGUUUCAGUUUGUUCAAAGCAAAAAAAUACCCAGCUUAAACGCACUACUAAGUGUAGAAUAAAUGCAGAAUAGUAAAGGUUUGGAGACAGGGAUGGCAGUUCAAGUUUAUUUCCAGAAACCACAAACAUUUAAAAACAACUACACUAACCUUAGUUUUAGACAAGAUCAUUUCAAACUAAACAAUGAUUUCACAUUUAACUGCCACUGAAAAUUUAACUGUCAGCCUAAAGAGGAAUAGAUUUUUAAGCCUGAAGAUAUAAUCAAUAUUAUCAUCUAGUCUGACCACUACAUAUGAACAGAAUGCCAUUAUUUAAUUUCUUCAGUGAAUAAAUGAAUUUCUGCAUUUACUACAGCUUCAUCCUCAAAAAGAGGUGACAUUCUAAGGAAAUCUACAGUGGCUGCAGCUAAGCUGGUUCAAAAAUCAGUUAUCCUCAUUUAAAAAACAAACAAAAAGAACUACAAAAGAAACCACACACAGUUUAUUUGUAGUCUUAAUGUGUGCCAGCCACUAUAUGCUGCCAUAUCAGCGAUGUACAUGCUAGUUGAGAAAGCCUGCUUCUGAGAUCUCUUGCUCAUGUAGGUAUUCAUAGAAAAUGAAGUUCACAUUGAACCUUCUAGUGGAUAAACUGAAAAGUCUCUCAAUUCAGUACAGCCUGUUAUCAAGACCUGCAAUUACUACAGAAGAAUCUGUAGUAGGAACAUUCUAUGGUAGUGUGGUGCAGUAGGUGAACUCGAAAGAAAAAUUCUCUUGGUUUUCCAGAGAAAACACACCAGUGUCUUUCAGAGUACCCACCAUGUGUGGAAGGUACACUGAAGAACAAAAUAGACUUUUAGUAACUAUGUGAAAUUAGCUCAGCAAUUUUUGUUGCACACAUGCAGCAAUGGUAACCCACAGUUUACUUUUUAUACAUGAAGAGCUAUGGAAGCUGUUCAAAGUAGUUUUAGCCACUUGUCCAACUCCUAGCAGAGGAAAGUAAGUGAGCACUCUUACUUGUUUACAUAGAACAUGAGAAUUGUUUAGCAGAGACUGCUUCUUCUUUCAGUGAAGAAAAGAGCAGCACAUAAAGUGCUCUGAGGCCUGGAUGUAAACUUAAGUGCUGCAAUCCUGUUAAACUAAUGGUUGGGAAUCACCACAAAUCAGCAUCAUAAACCUUCAUGAACUGUGAAAAAUAUAUUAUUUCACGAGGCUGCAGUUACUAGCUUAGUUUUCAAAAACACAGUAGCUACAUCAGCACCUGAGCUUUUGACAGUCUUCUGGGACCCAAACUGCACAGUUUAUACGUGUGUCCCACCAAUAUGAAGGUUGUAAUUUUUUUCAUUACUGGUUAGAUCAAUGUCAGUAUGAACGAUGUUUCUGUUGGGUGAUAAAUAGUAGUAAUGUUUUGAUGAGAGAGGGCCUACUGCAGACACAGACGAGGUAAUAAAUUAGUCUUGCUGGUCUGUCUGAAUGAAUUAUAUUUCUAUAAAGUUUUAUCCAAAGGCUUAAUGGCAUAAAGCAUCAUCAUAAAAUUCACAUAUCCUCUUAGAAGAUUUUGCCUGAAAAGAUCUAGCUUAAGGAAUUUCAGAUCUCUUAUUCAUUUGCUGGAGUUGACUCUGUAUUCACACCCUGCUUCUUCUUUUCUAGGCUCAAAAGCACAUCUUUCAAGAUCACACAUAUCUUUCACAGAGGCUAUUGCUAGUUACAUAAAUCUUUGAAAAAGAUAUUCCAGUAUUCUGCACGUGUGUGCUAUCAGCAAAUAGAAAACUCAGAAGAGAAUUUUAAGGGCUCUUGAGACUGAUGUACCCAACAACAAAACUCCUGCAAAAUAAGGAUUCUUUUAAAUUCAACAAGAACCCCUCCCAUAGCCAUUCAACUAUCCCUACAACAAUAGUGCACACUGAGCAGCACAUUAAACAGUUGUGUUUUCUACAAAGUUAAUUAGUUCAAGUUUUCGAGGAAGAGGAAGUUGUUUUAUUGUAAAGUCAUACAGUUUAUAGCUUAUCUGCUAUAAAGUCAAUUAGUCAAUCCCCUGCAACAAAAACACAAUAUGAAACACUUAAACAGAUUACCUAGACAGCAGCUCUACUAAAAUUCCUCUACAAAAGCAGGUUACCUUUGGCAUAUUUGACAGAGCAGAAAGUGUCUCAUCUCUUUUGAUCUUGAUUAAAAAAGUAGCUUUAAAUGCUGGUUCAUCAAAGCAUGGAAAAGCAGACCUUGCUCCCAGAGGUUCAAACUGAGUUGCUGCAAACCACCUAACAGAAAGAGUAGAGAGAGCAAAUUAAGAGUUAUGAAAAGGAUAAAAGUCAGUUUAUUUAUAACCUUGCAACAGAUUGUUAUGGGAGAAGCUUUCUGAACGGCACAUAACAGGGUUGGUACAGUUAGAAUAAAUGUUUCAUUAACAUUUUUUUUAAACUCAAAAAAAUGUAUUUGGUUGUUUUUCACUAUCUUAACAAAGAAGAAUGCAACUGGAAUAAUACAAUUAAAGAAUAAUCACCAAAAUAUCAGCCAGACAGCUUCCAGUAAAAAGAAAAAAAAAAAAGAGAAUGAAAAAUUAAGUCAGUGGUCAUGCCAACUAAAUAGAAGUUUUAAAACCUCAGCAGCAGAUGAGACUACAAUGAGGUGUUUUUCUCUAAUUGUCAUGCCCUCUCCUGCAGAUUCUCCCAUAGUUCACCUAACUGUAUGCCUGCACCCUUUGCUGGCUGCUAGAUGGAUUCUUUCUAAGUUCAUGCACUGCCUUGUCUCCAAUCCAACAACGAGUCACAUCACCAGAGAACUUCCCAGAAGCCUACACUCUUCCUCCAGUAUUUGGAUACUAACCAGCUGCAGAAAUUAUGGCUUUUCCUAGAGAGCAUCUCUGACUUGCUCCUGCUAGCCAACACUGGGAGCUCAACAAGGAGCUUGUGAAAUUAAGUCUUCUACAAGAGCUAAACAGUGGAGACAACUGUGGUUGGUUGGUUUGUUUUUGUUUGGUUUAAAAAACCCCCACAAAACAAACAAAUUAACAAAAAACCCACACCAAAAUAAAACACCUACUGCUAAGCUACUCACAAGUUUUGGGGGCUUUUCUUUCCUUCUGCACCAUGAUACAAACAUUUUUGGACCUACAACUUUUCUGAGGAGGCACGCUGCUGACAACUAAUAAGAUUGCUCUCCAUGCCCGCUUUCAACUUCUUACCCUUCUCUUCCCCCUCACUGACAACCUUGAUGUUGGUGCAGUAAGUUUCUUCUUCUUUUUUUUAAUCUUCACCCAAAGAUUUUACAGAAGAAAACUAAAAAAUAUAGAACCAUUCUGCAUAGAGGUAUAAAUAAGGUCCAACUUCUUAAAUUUGCAUCUGGCAACAGGGACUUAUUUUGCCAUUUGAUAAUUUUAAUGUUUUUGUCACAAUAUAAAAAAUCUUCAAAAGAAAAUUAAACUAGAAAAAAAGACAUUUUCUUGCAAAAGCAGGUUGACAGCUUGAGUCUUACACAGAAAAUGCAAUGACAACAGAGGCUGGCAAGGUAGCCUGCAUUUGUAAAACCACUGGCAUUAAGCAUACAGAGACAAAGCCUGUGGAAACAGAAGAGGCAGGCAAGGCAACAGAAAUUAUAUCAGCUAUUAUUAUAACAGUUAUCUGAAAAGGACUUACUGAAAAAUAUACAACUUAAAGCAUGUGCUAUAUCCUGUUCCUGAACAAAAGCAGGUAGCACUGGACUGAAGGGGGACAAAAACUCAAGAACUUCCUGACAGAUCAUAUUUUUCCUUUGUGAACACUUACACAUUCUCCUUCUACUACAGUUAAACAAGGAGAAAACAAAGCUCCAGCUACAUCAGAAUAGGAAAAAACACAGAGAUUAAAAAAGAGGCUAAUCAUUCACAAGAUGUUUGCCUUCUACACUUACUGUGUUCUUCAUGGUAAUGCUUGUAAUUAUUGUUUGUGAUAAGCUACUUAGCUCUAUUUCAUUUCCUCUUGUAGUUAUGUUCUUCUGAUGCAAUCUACACCCUUUGUGAUUCUUUAUUAUCCAAAACAUUCCACAACAGAGAAACAACUUGUGGCAUUUUUGUUAUAAUGACAGAAUUCUGAUGCCUAUCAGCAGUUUCCCAAGUGACAACAGAUUCUCUCUAACGAUCACGCAUACACUAUGAUGUUUUAGUAUAAGCUGAGGAGCAGCCCUUUCAUAAGAGGCUUAUCAACAGCCCUUUACCUGAAGGAUCUGAACAGUCACCCAUGUUUGCACCUCAGUAAAACACACCCACCUCCAUUGGAGAUGUUGGCCAACUGAAACAGAUCAACAAUCCUUUAACCCAGUUUUGUUUCUUAAAAUACUUGAUUUCCUAAAGAAAGCCCCUUAGACUACUUCAGAUGAGGACCAACAGGAACACAUGAGAGUAAAAAGCAGAGAGGUACUACCUUAACUAAGUUGCUGACCAGUUCAAGAACCCACAUAAAUGUUCCACGGUUCAAUCUGAAUGCACCAGGUUUUGCAUAUAUUUGAAAAUAACUGUUGCAGCUAACUUAACUUCUUGCACACUUCAGCACUACCUCAGAGACCCAAUAGGAGUGGGAGUUUUAAAGGCAAAUUGUAAAAAACCUUAGAAAAUGCUCAGAGAGGUCUCCUGACUCUGAAAGUCUCCUGACCCUGGGAUUUUGUUCAGAGAACAGAAAAGAAAUACAUCUUUCCUAUGUUAUGCAGCUUGCUAACAGUCUAAGAAAUAAUCUUUACACUAAGUAUCUUGUUUUGUUUAUUUUUAAAAUAUGAGCAAUCACUGAGGGACUUAAACAAUUCAAAUAUCAGCAGCGUAUGGUUUCCAUAUCUCACUGGAAAUAGACAAAUUAUGAAUAAGUUUGCCACACUUCUGUUUUCUUCUUCAGGCAGUCUCACUGAAACAGUCUGCAACAGCUCAAUGAAACAUCUUGUUUUAAGUAACUGAAAAGAAAUACAAUCUCAGUGUGAUUAUCUUCCCAGAUAAUAAUUUCAAGCAUAUAUUGUCGAUCUCAAAAAGAUUGCAUUGGUGACGCUAAUUUUAAAUUCUGCCUUCCGCUUUCAGGAAACAAAAUCUAUUUAUUAGUAUUUUGGGAAUUUCCAUAUAAACUCUCUCUCUCGCAAAGAUUUGUAAUAAUAUAUACAUUGAUUUGUCUUGCUUUUCCUUUACAACCCAUUCAACUUCUUUUUUUUUAAGCUUUAGAGCUUAGCAUUUCUUAGCACAAGUUGGUGCUAUCUUUAUUUAGCAGUUGUUUUGUGGACCCUUCAAAACUACUGUUCUGUCAGCUGGUCCUGGACUGACUCAUACUGCUUGUUCAGUCUUUUGUUUAUCGCACUGCUCUGUUUCUAUAAAAAUCGCAUGGACAACUAUGUGACAACAAAGACAAGAACACUCUUACGUGCAUGACCAGUGUAAGGCCCAUUUGAGGUGGGUGGUGGUGGGUGGCAAUUCAAUUAAUCUUCUAGGUAAAAAGUUUGAUUACCCUUUUUUAAAAAUCAGUGUGAUGUUUCCCUCUUCUCCAGUCACUGGGGACUUCACCUGACUGCCAUGACUUUUCAAAUACGAUUGAGUGGGGCUUGGCAACUACAUCUGACAGUUUGCUUAGGACUGUGCGAUGAGUCUCAUCAGGUCCCAUGGAUUUGUAUAUGUUCAGGUUCUUCAGAUGGUUUCAAACCUGAUCUUUCUCUAUGAUGGUGGGACACCAUUUCCCCACUCUCUGUCUUGAGAGUCAGGAGUUUGAGAGAUGUAGGAAGAAUUUCUGAAGAGAGAAACUAAAAAUUAAACAAAAAGCCACACUAUAGCUACCUACAACCAGUACACUGCACCCCAUUUAACUGACAGAGAGGCUGCCCUGACUUAAUGAACUCAUCCAUGAAAUACAUUUUUCAGAUAGAUUAAUCAGGAGAUCAAAGAUUGAUUUUGCUCAACAGGAAUCAGUUGUACGAGACAUCCAAUUAAAAAAGCAACCCUUGUUAUUUCUAUUAUCAAAGCACGAUCUAGAAGUGAUCCACAGAGAAGCUACAAUUGUGGGCAUACCUUUGCUUAGAAUUCUCAUCCUUGUAAGAAAUUUUGUAAAAGCCAUAAUAGCUAUCUGAUAAAUUAGAUGAAUAUUCUAUGUUGAUGGUAUAAUUCUGUCCUACAAGGAGAGCCUCAGGAGCCAUGACUGCAAUCUGGUCAUGCAAUGGAUACUCCAGGAAUUCAACUGGCUUUGCUUCAUGCCCUCCUGCUGAAGUAAUGGUUGCCUUGGUGAUAUUAAGUCCUGAGCUGUGAAGUACAAUCUUCCGAGUUUCCUUGGUAAUGUUAACCACUAUCUUUACAGAGCCUGCAAAUUUCAGAGUAGUAAGGUUUGGCUGCAAGAUGAGAUCAUAAUGCAGCGGUACAACAUCAGGAGGAAGUCUAAUUUUUGCCCAUGGAAACACUUUUCCAUUGGUUGCCAAAGGGUAUAUUAGUUCCAUCGAAUGAUGAUUUUUAUGGCAGCCUUCUUUGGUAAAGGUACAUUUGGGAAGAAGAUAAAUCAACAUUAUUAACGAAACUGCAAUCACAAGAACAACUGUGCAAACCACCACGGUCCUCGUAGAGGGUGCAGAACAUAAUCCAUUUGGAUUUUGUGUAUAGCCAGACAUGUUAUUCCGGAGACUCGAGCUUCUGUUCAUGAAGGACAUUCCCAACAAUUUUGCUGAUGACUCAUAAUCCUCUUCAUCAUCCUCCAUUUCAUGCUCUCCAAGACCACGAACCAAGAGCCGGGAGCUCCUUGGUUCAUAUUCCACUUCAUCAGGCUCCAGGGGAUGCAAACAAGAUUCUUUCGCCAAGUCAACCACAUCAGGCUCCUCUUCAAACAUACUAUUUUCAAUCAUAUUCCUGGGUAACUGAAUUAGAUCUGAAAAAGAAAAGAUCAUAUGUUACAUCAUAAACAAAAGGCAUGAUUAUAAUAUCUCGAAGAUACUUUACUGAACUGCGGAAUGGGAAACACUUUUAUGGUACAUAUGAUCAAGAGCUCUUUGAUUUUUUUCUCUCAGGUUUGCUUCUAGAAAACAUUUAUGUGCUUUUCUGCGUACUGUAAUUUUUCAUUCAGUAUCUCUGAAAGAAUGCUUCUGUUGUACAUAUUUAAUCACAUCUUGCAUCAUAACUGGGGAUCAGCUGUAUCACUGCGUAGAAUGCCCAGUUCGUUGAUGUCAAUAUCUUGGCUACAUUUCCUCUACCGCAGAAAACUAUAUCUGUAUCCAACUAAAAUAGUUAAGAUGGAAUAUUCUUUAUCUUGCAGGGUAAAGCACAGGAGGCCAAUACAGUUCUAGAGGUGUUUCUGAAUACACUAGCUACAGAUUUCUUCAAUACAGGAGAAAAUCUGCCAGUGUGCUGGCACUUACAAAAAUAAAACAUCCACUUGACAUUAUUAAACUUAAUUUUUCACACACAUCCCCCAAAAUAUAAAUAGUAUUUCUCACAUAAAAAUGGCAGUAUAAAAAU